This 1037-nucleotide ribosomal RNA is filed under the name Klebsiella sp. RNAcentral describes it as "bacterial SSU rRNA". Lineage: Bacteria; Pseudomonadati; Pseudomonadota; Gammaproteobacteria; Enterobacterales; Enterobacteriaceae. The record is from RNAcentral.
GUCGAGCGGUAGCACAGAGAGCUUGCUCUCGGGUGACGAGCGGCGGACGGGUGAGUAAUGUCUGGGAAACUGCCUGAUGGAGGGGGAUAACUACUGGAAACGGUAGCUAAUACCGCAUAAYGUCGCAAGACCAAAGUGGGGGACCUUCGGGCCUCAUGCCAUCAGAUGUGCCCAGAUGGGAUUAGCUAGUAGGUGGGGUAACGGCUCACCUAGGCGACGAUCCCUAGCUGGUCUGAGAGGAUGACCAGCCACACUGGAACUGAGACACGGUCCAGACUCCUACGGGAGGCAGCAGUGGGGAAUAUUGCACAAUGGGCGCAAGCCUGAUGCAGCCAUGCCGCGUGUGUGAAGAAGGCCUUCGGGUUGUAAAGCACUUUCAGCGGGGAGGAAGGCGUUAAGGUUAAUAACCUUGGCGAUUGACGUUACCCGCAGAAGAAGCACCGGCUAACUCCGUGCCAGCAGCCGCGGUAAUACGGAGGGUGCAAGCGUUAAUCGGAAUUACUGGGCGUAAAGCGCACGCAGGCGGUCUGUCAAGUCGGAUGUGAAAUCCCCGGGCUCAACCUGGGAACUGCAUUCGAAACUGGCAGGCUAGAGUCUUGUAGAGGGGGGUAGAAUUCCAGGUGUAGCGGUGAAAUGCGUAGAGAUCUGGAGGAAUACCGGUGGCGAAGGCGGCCCCCUGGACAAAGACUGACGCUCAGGUGCGAAAGCGUGGGGAGCAAACAGGAUUAGAUACCCUGGUAGUCCACGCCGUAAACGAUGUCGAUUUGGAGGUUGUGCCCUUGAGGCGUGGCUUCCGGAGCUAACGCGUUAAAUCGACCGCCUGGGGAGUACGGCCGCAAGGUUAAAACUCAAAUGAAUUGACGGGGGCCCGCACAAGCGGUGGAGCAUGUGGUUUAAUUCGAUGCAACGCGAAGAACCUUACCUGGUCUUGACAUCCACAGAACUUUCCAGAGAUGGAUUGGUGCCUUCGGGAACUGUGAGACAGGUGCUGCAUGGCUGUCGUCAGCUCGUGUUGUGAAAUGUUGGGUUAAGUCCCG